AUGGCUCUUUCUUCAAUUUUACCAUGUGAUGCUGCACGCGACUUAGUAGCAGUUAAUAAGUUUUCUUUUAUUUGCGAACACUGUACAACUACGCCCCAUUUUCCAUUAGACGACCCAUUUCUCCGACCCAUUUUUCCGCGACGCCUACCGCUGCCAACACCGUCGCCGCCAACACCGUCAACGACUCCAACACCCAACACCGUCAACGGCUCACCGUCGCCGCCCGAUUCAUCGCCGUUUCAACGGUUCACCGUCGCCGCCCGAUUCAUCGCCGUUUCAACUGAUUCCUCGCCGCCUGAUUCAUCGUCGUUUCAACUCUAUAAAAUGAGGCUUCUUUGA
This is a non-coding RNA of Vicia faba (fava bean), 339 nucleotides long. NCBI's taxonomy places the organism in Eukaryota, Viridiplantae, Streptophyta, Magnoliopsida, Fabales, Fabaceae. The record is from the annotation of a GenBank genome assembly.